GGAGAAUUAGCUCAGCUGGGAGAGCAUCUGCCUUACAAGCAGAGGGUCGGCGGUUCGAACCCGUUAUUCUCCACCA
Molecule: transfer RNA, 76 nt
Filed under: Staphylococcus aureus
Lineage: Bacteria; Bacillati; Bacillota; Bacilli; Caryophanales; Staphylococcaceae
Description: tRNA-Val
Rfam family: tRNA
About the family: Transfer RNA (tRNA) molecules are approximately 80 nucleotides in length. Their secondary structure includes four short double-helical elements and three loops (D, anti-codon, and T loops).
Source: RNAcentral